This 319-nucleotide ribosomal RNA is filed under the name uncultured Prevotella sp. RNAcentral's name for it is "bacterial SSU rRNA". It matches the Rfam family "Bacterial small subunit ribosomal RNA", at positions 28 to 339 of the family's 1533-position model. The record is from RNAcentral. Lineage: Bacteria; Pseudomonadati; Bacteroidota; Bacteroidia; Bacteroidales; Prevotellaceae.
GAUGAACGCUAGCUACAGGCUUAACACAUGCAAGUCGAGGGGCAGCAUGACGAGUGCUUGCACUUGUUGAUGGCGACCGGCGCACGGGUGCGUAACGCGUAUCGAACCUUCCCCUUACUCGGGAAUAGCCCGGUGAAAACCGAAUUAAUGCCCGAUAUAUAUUUAGAUGGCAUCAGAAGAGUAUGAAAGAUUUAUCGGUAAGGGAUGGCGAUGCGUAGGAUUAGGUAGUCGGCGGGGUAACGGCCCACCGGGGCAUCGAUCGGUAGGGGUUCUGAGAGGAAGGUCCCCCACACUGGUACUGAGACACGGACCAGACUCC